RNAcentral lists this ribosomal RNA (357 nucleotides) under uncultured bacterium. RNAcentral's name for it is "bacterial SSU rRNA". It matches the Rfam family "Bacterial small subunit ribosomal RNA", at positions 9 to 353 of the family's 1533-position model. The record is from RNAcentral.
GAGUUUGAUCGAUGGCUCAGGAUGAACGCUAGNUACAGGCUUAACACAUGCAAGUCGAGGGGAAACGACAUCGAAAGCUUGCUUUUGAUGGGCGUCGACCGGCGCACGGGUGAGUAACGCGUAUCCAACCUGCCCACCACUUGGGGAUAACCUUGCGAAAGUAAGACUAAUACCCAAUGAUAUCUCUAGAAGACAUCUGAAAGAGAUUAAAGAUUUAUCGGUGAUGGAUGGGGGAUGCGUCUGAUUAGCUUGUUGGCGGGGUAACGGCCCACCAAGGCAACGAUCAGUAGGGGUUCUGAGAGGAAGGUCCCCCACAUUGGAACUGAGACACGGUCCAAACUCCUACGGGAGGCAGCA